GCCCGAUGAUGCCAAAAUUAGAUGUUCCAAGCUGCACACAUGCUACACUGAUGUUUGGAUGACAUGGGGUCAUCAGUGACCCCACAAUCACAUGGAGCAGUGCCAAACUCUCAGAGUAGAUAAGUCUAUUAAUAAUUUUUUUACUUGUUUUAAAUAUUUAUAUUUAGAAGCUUCAUAUGUUUAGGUUUGAGUCCAAGAAGG
RNAcentral lists this long non-coding RNA (201 nucleotides) under Elaeis guineensis (African oil palm). RNAcentral's name for it is "long non-coding RNA (EGUI_LNC036487)". Lineage: Eukaryota; Viridiplantae; Streptophyta; Magnoliopsida; Arecales; Arecaceae. The record is from RNAcentral.